CAAAUUAUAGCUUAUUAGUGAGCAUUUCAUUUACACUGAAAAAGAUUGUUGUGCAAUUCAGCUUGAUUUGA
RNAcentral lists this transfer RNA (71 nucleotides) under Mesopodagrion tibetanum. RNAcentral's name for it is "tRNA-Val". It matches the Rfam family "tRNA". From Rfam's summary of the family: Transfer RNA (tRNA) molecules are approximately 80 nucleotides in length. Their secondary structure includes four short double-helical elements and three loops (D, anti-codon, and T loops). The record is from RNAcentral. Lineage: Eukaryota; Metazoa; Arthropoda; Insecta; Odonata; Megapodagrionidae.